Non-coding RNA from Phalacrocorax carbo (great cormorant), 4198 nucleotides. Lineage: Eukaryota; Metazoa; Chordata; Aves; Suliformes; Phalacrocoracidae. The record is from RefSeq and is a predicted model, not a curated record.
CUUCCCGCCGGCGGCCCCGCUCCCCCGGCGAGGGACCGGCCCGGCCGCUCCCGCUGCCCGGGAGCUGCCGCAGCCGCGUCGGAACCCCGGAGCCCGCGUCCGCAGCCUUGCCGGGGCCGCUCUGCGGGGGACCGAAGUCGCGGUGGCGGCCGAGAGGAGGGAUGCGGCCGCGCUCAGCACCUUGGCGUGCUGGGGGAGCAGGCGCGACCGAGCGGCGGCCCGCGGGCCCGUGCGGGGCCCGGGCUGUGUAACGCUCCCACCAACGACCGAGCGCACCCUCGGGGCGUUCGCAGCACUGAUUCAUCAUCUUGUUUUGAAGCACGGACCUUCAGCACAAACUGCCAGUACUUGAGUUAUCAGACUAAGAGCUACACGAACUGCUAAAAAAUCAGGUCAUUGACUCAAGCUAUAAGGCCCAGCCUGGCUCCUUCAUCACCCAGUGAUAGUUUGGUGGUAGACCUGCCCUAGAAGCCCAAGACCAGGCAGACUCGUGGAUCCGAAUGCCACGGUCUCAAUGCAGGCGUUGCCUCGUAUGGUACGACCGGGAGGGAGAGGUUCUGAAUUAACAAGGGACUGGGAACUGAAGUUCAAACAUUCCAUCGAAUCUUUGAAGUUUCAAGCCGCCUCUGUGUUUCCAAGCACAGAAUCCAGCCAGCCUGCUAAUAACGGUUAUGGCAGCCCACUGAAACGUAGCGUCACUACUUAGCUUGCGGCAGUCAAGAGCGAGAAACAAAGACAAUUGUUAAAUGUCCUUCCUCACCAGGAGCUUGCUAAGCAGAAAAUGCUAGAAAACAAGAAGUAGAGCAGUUGUUACCAGGUGCCUGGAUAAUUUUAGUGCCAAUCUUAAAGCCCAUGCUUACUCAAGAAAAUGCAGUCGGAUGAAGUGCAAUUCUGGGGUCGUCAUCAUGCUGUUCUGGACAAAGAGAAGUUACAAAUGACCACAAGCAACGUACCCUUUGGGAUGAAACUGCUGGCUGCCACCAUUAUACAUCUUUUUCCUCUUUGAUUCUCUGAAGUUGGGCGGCCUUUUCCUCCUCUUUUUUUGGUUUGCAUUAUUGCAAAAAUAGUUUGAGGUUGUAACUACAUCUUCUGCUUCCUCAUCACUCCCUGGUGUGCCAGCGCUCCCCGUAGCUGUCUCCACGCUUGGGCAGGCAGCAUCUUCUACAGAUAGACAGGGAUUUAAAACGUAACAAAAUGAAGACAUUGCCUGGGCCGGCCAGAACACACCGACUGUACCAAGACUUCCGUCCUUGCUGUUCAAGGCCUCCUUUGCACCGCCUUCAUCCCAGCGAUGCUCCAGGCUCAGCUAACGGUGCUACAGAGUUGGCAUAAACCAAAACUGCCUUCUGCCCUUGCUUUAGCUCAUGACACAAAAGAAUACCGGGCAGUCCUAUUUGCUUGGCUUCUUGUCUAAACUAUUUUGGUAACACUGGGCUUUCUGCCUUUACACUCCCUUCCCCAUGUCAGCUGGAAAGAAUUAUGGAAUAUACCAUAAAUACUACAGUCAAAUAUGGCACGUGUAUUUAAAAACAGCAUCAAGAGACUGAAAGGCUCAGAGAGCCGAGAGCUCCUUCUCAAUCAGGCAUGAUCAAGACGGACAUGAUUCUUUGCACAGGCAGUAGAUUACAAUACUUAAAAAAAUCAGGUUUGUAGCUGUGCAUUUACUCACAUUGCAGUGAAUGAAAGCACAACCUCCUUAAAAGUAAGCGCGAGUCGCUUUAGAAUCGCAAGCCCCAAUGCCAGAUCUGAUAGCCAAGCUGUAAGAAAUAUUCUAAUGACAACACAGCCCACGUGCUACGCUCACGUGACAUUACCAGGUUUACUAGUCUCGGGGCUCAACUCUCCACUGAGCUGAACUUUGUAUAUGAGGCGAGAGCUGUGCAGAGGCAUUGUAAAAUACUGCCAUUGUGACCGGAGAGCGUUAUUUAUGCCUAGCUUUGGAAGCUGUUCACAUUUGACCAGGGGCUAGUCAGUGAAGGCCUGAACUUGCUGAAUUUGAUUACUAUGAAAACUAAAAGGUAGUCGUUAUUGAUUAUCUGGCAGGCUACAACAUUACCCCAUACACAGUAAAUGCAGGUGUAAAAAUAUGCAGGAGGUGCAAGACCUUUAACCUUAAGGUCAGAAUUCCAUUAUAACUAAGCAUAUUACAUAAUUGCCAAUAACUAAUAGGUUGGGAGCAGAGCGGCCUGCUUAGUUCUCAUUUUUGUUUUUUAGUCUCUGGAGAACACGGCAAAGAGCUUUGUAUGUUCUGAAAGUGCGCAAUUGCUCCCUUUUUUGUAAUUAUUAAACUGCAAGAAUUCGUUAUUUGUAUUUAAAACAAGGUAACUUUUGAGUGAAACUUCUGCUAGGGGAGCAGAGAAGGGUACUGAACAGGAAAGCAAACCCUUGGGUACAAAGUAUACCGAACCUGGCACGGUCCAUUCAGAGUACUUAUCCAUCACUUGAAUUAUUUCUGCACCGUAUUUUUCCAGUUUGUCUUCUGUGACACCAUCAAUCUGCAGUAAGACCUCCACAUCAGACGACAAGGUUUCUGUAGCGUAACAAAGUACCAAUUAGACAUGUCAAACAAACAUUUUUUGUAUGACAGAUCACGGUAGAGUGUUCUGGAGGAUAUUAAUUCCUUUUAGUGCCACCCUACACAUUAGUCCUUAAGGAAGUAAGCCUUUGGUCUAGCAGAUCUGCCUCUAGUUCGUUAGCACAAGAACUAGUCCAGAACUUUUCCCUGAAAGUGCUUCAAAGUUUGUUUGGUGGCUCUUAUGCUGACGCAGCAGGACUGCCACAGCAUAAACUGCAGCUCCAAGGGACCUGCGCCGUGCCAGACACUUCCACAGGACUCGCCCGGUUACGUAUAAUGUAAACCUGUUCUCACUGAAUGUUAGAAACUGGGGAUUUUGUCAGAAAAGGCUGCAGCUGACACGCAGUCUAUCCCCAGCAGGGGUUCCGAGAAAUGAAAAACUGGUGUUACCUGCUAUUUUCUUUAGAGUUGAAGUACUGAAAAUAUUGAAGUAAUGCACAUCAAAGGCUUUCCCAAGCAUUUUGCACGUGUCUGUGAGUUCCCCGAGGCACUUUUUAACCAUCUCUUCCCGCUGUGACAUUUUUGCCACAGAAGCCCUCUGCUUUCUGAUGGCACUGGCGCUUUCCGUUUCAUGAAACUCCACCUGUUAACACAAGCCAGUCAGUAACUUCUGUCAGGGGAGCUUCUGCAGAGCCCCCAUUAGAAGAUUGAUUGGUAACACAGGAAAACAGUGAAGGACAUCAAAAGUAUUCUUUGAUAGACCAAAAAAAGCUAUUUACCCAGUAUACACGCUUUAAAUUGUUUUCUUUUGGGUUUUUCUUUAUUAUUUUUGUUUUGGGUGGCUUUUUUUUUUUUUUUUAAACAGGCUACUCAACUGCCCCUAAGUUUCUCCUACAAAGAACUAGCAGAGUGUACACAACACAGGGAAAAAGUCCUGAGAACCCAAUUUACAGCUAGCUUUAAACAGAGGUCACUAGGUCUGAUGCUGAGGGCUCUGCUCUUCUCCAAACACAGCACUAAUGCAGAGGAGACAUUGCCUCAAGCAAUUCUGGGACCAGUUCCAUGACCUUGAAGUGCAUUUUCCAUCAGGGCUCACCAAUGACUGGGAAAAAAUAGAGCAGAAAAUGCAGGAGAAGGUAGCACUCUUCCUCCUUUUCUUCCUAGCUGGCUUUUUCUGUGUCGGUCAUAAAACUUUCCUUUCUUGUCAAGCUGGAAUCAGAUGGAUGGGGGGAGAAGAAAAAGUUUUAAUUCUCUCCAACCAUCUCAAACUCACCUUUUCCCUCACGAUGUUAUUGUUAGAAUACUGGACUAGAAAUCGUGCUUGUUGGGUUCUGUUCCCUGCAUCGACCCAGGAUUAGUUCCUGUACUUCAGCUGGUAGGCAGACUGUGCUCAAACUAUCCUAGGGGCUAGGCUACAUAAGAACUGCAGCACGUCCCCUAGAACAAUACACUGGAGAAAACCAAAAUUAACUGUUACGCACCUGUAGUGACCCGUUUAGCACAGCCUGAGCUUUCUCUCCUAGAAUUACAUAUGCUACCGCCUGGUCAUUGGCUGUGAUAUACAAGUCUUCGUCCAGGAUCUUGUCCAAGACCAGUUUUCUAAACAGCCUUUCAACAUUAUGCCUCGAGUAGGCAGCUCCCUUCCCAAAUAUUCCAGACUGAAUCUUCGCACUCUUGGAACCU